AAACCGUUCAGGGGUAAACCCGAGAAACCCAAAAGUUCGAACGGGGAGAUUCAUCGUCAGCGCCGCUGGCUUCGCGUCGGUCGGCGAUGCCGGCGCGGGUCCGCCGUGUCUCGCCACGGCUCCCGCGCUGGCACGCCGCUGUGCGCCGAUGCCCGGCGCGCGUCGUCGUGCACUUCUCCCCCAGUAGGACGUCGCGACCCGCUGGGUGCCGGUCUACGGCCCGGGACGGACGGCUGCAACGUCGCCGGUGAAACGGCACGCGGCAAGCCCCCGGUCGCCCGGCCGGCUGCCCGGCGGUACGGUUAGAAACGGUACGAGGCCGCGCCCUCGGGCGCGUCGAGCCCGUCGCAAGCGAGCGCCACGGUACCCGGAGGCUACGGACCCAGUGCCGUCCCCGGUCCUGGCCCGCUGUUGGCAGUACGGUGCACCUUCGACAGGCCUGCGAGGCGCGCGCGCGCGCGUGUGGUGUCCCGCUCGUCCUCCGUGGCGUGAGGGCCCGCGCGCGCGCGCGGCGGCACAUACCGGUCGGCGACGCUACCGCUUUGGGUACUCUCGGGA
This 558-nucleotide ribosomal RNA is filed under the name Aenictus eugenii. RNAcentral's name for it is "partial 28S ribosomal RNA". The record is from RNAcentral. Lineage: Eukaryota; Metazoa; Arthropoda; Insecta; Hymenoptera; Formicidae.